Molecule: ribosomal RNA, 441 nt
Filed under: uncultured bacterium
Lineage: Bacteria
Description: partial 16S ribosomal RNA
Rfam family: Bacterial small subunit ribosomal RNA
Source: RNAcentral
CCUACGGGAGGCAGCAGUGGGGAAUAUUGCACAAUGGGCGAAACCCUGAUGCAGCGACGCCGCGUGAGUGAAGAAGUCUCUCGGUAUGUUAAACUCUAUCAGCAGGGGAGCAGAAAGACGGUCCCUGCCUAAGAAGCCCCGGCUAACUACGGGCCCGCAGCCGCGGUACUACGUAGGGGGCAAGCGUUAUCCGGGUUUACUGGGGUUAACGGGAGCGUAGACGGCUGUGCAAGUCUGAAGUGAAAGCCCAGGGCUCAACCCUGGGACUGCCUUGGAAACUGGGGGGCUAGAGUGCUGGAGAGGUAAGUGGAAUGCCUGGUGUAGCGGUGAAAUGCGUAGAUAUUAGGAAGAACACCAGUGGCGAAGGCGGCGUACUGGACAGUAACUGACGUUGAGGCACGAAAGCGUGGGGAGCAAACAGGAUUAGAUACCCUAGUAGUC